Drosophila pseudoobscura is the source of this 742-nucleotide long non-coding RNA. RefSeq lists it as uncharacterized. The record is from RefSeq and is a predicted model, not a curated record. The transcript has 3 exons. NCBI's taxonomy places the organism in Eukaryota, Metazoa, Arthropoda, Insecta, Diptera, Drosophilidae.
UAACCCUUCGUUUGACGCUUCGUUAGUGGUUAUGUGUACAUAUAAUAUGGCGAAUACCCGACGCUCCGCUGACGACCGCUGCCGCAGAGCAGCCAUUUUCUUUACUUGUGCGUUCUGUUUAUGUAUGUAUGUAGAAAUACCUAUGUAUCCGUUAUGCCUGCGUUGACGUCAGUAAAUAAGACGAUUGCGCAUUUUGAGUAUCGGAUAUAAAAAGAGCCAGAGGUACAAAAUUUCAUAAAAUUUCCGAUAGAGUCGACGAUGGAGUUGGAGCAUUUCAACUCUAUUAUAACUCCAGAGCUUACCGAUUUUUAUAUCAACAAAAUAAGGAGCUUAUUGGGGACGAGCUCAUCGAUGGCAUCCAGUUUAAAACAUGUGCUGGAUGAUAAGCUAAUUUUCGAUUACAACGUGGACGGUACGUCGGGGAAGAGUUCUUUGAAAAAUUUUAAAUCAUUUUAAAUGUCCUGGAAUCGGCGGUGAACAUGAAAAUACACAACGAGCCAGCAGAUAAAGUAAUAAGGAAGGCUAUUCAUAAUAUUAAGAAUAGCUAUUUUCAAAAGGGCGCAAGGGAUACAAAAUACAAAGUAUCCGUAGACAAUAAUGAAUAAUAAUUUUUAAUAAAUAAAAAUAGUUGGAAAAAUAAACAAUUGAAUGUAUUACUUUUUAUAUCUAAAGACACUAAGUUGUUAUUGUGGGCUCAAUCGAAAACCCGAAACACAUAACAUAAGCGAAGAGACAAAAAGUG